RNAcentral lists this ribosomal RNA (465 nucleotides) under Vreelandella stevensii. Its description in RNAcentral is "partial 16S ribosomal RNA". It matches the Rfam family "Bacterial small subunit ribosomal RNA", at positions 338 to 795 of the family's 1533-position model. Lineage: Bacteria; Pseudomonadati; Pseudomonadota; Gammaproteobacteria; Oceanospirillales; Halomonadaceae. The record is from RNAcentral.
CCUAUGGGUGGCAGCAGUGGGGAAUAUUGGACAAUGGGGGGAACCCUGAUCCAGCCAUGCCGCGUGUGUGAAGAAGGCCCUCGGGUUGUAAAGCACUUUCAGUGAGGAAGAACGCCUGGUGGUUAAUACCCAUCAGGAAAGACAUCACUCACAGAAGAAGCACCGGCUAACUCCGUGCCAGCAGCCGCGGUAAUACGGAGGGUGCGAGCGUUAAUCGGAAUUACUGGGCGUAAAGCGCGCGUAGGUGGCUUGAUAAGCCGGUUGUGAAAGCCCCGGGCUCAACCUGGGAACGGCAUCCGGAACUGUCAAGCUAGAGUGCAGGAGAGGAAGGUAGAAUUCCCGGUGUAGCGGUGAAAUGCGUAGAGAUCGGGAGGAAUACCAGUGGCGAAGGCGGCCUUCUGGAGUGACACUGACACUGAGGUGCGAAAGCGUGGGUAGCAAACAGGAUUAGAUACCCUGGUAGUC